Molecule: transfer RNA, 102 nt
Filed under: Biscogniauxia mediterranea
Lineage: Eukaryota; Fungi; Ascomycota; Sordariomycetes; Xylariales; Xylariaceae
Description: tRNA-Ala
Rfam family: tRNA
About the family: Transfer RNA (tRNA) molecules are approximately 80 nucleotides in length. Their secondary structure includes four short double-helical elements and three loops (D, anti-codon, and T loops). Further hydrogen bonds mediate the characteristic L-shaped molecular structure. tRNAs have two regions of fundamental functional importance: the anti-codon, which is responsible for specific mRNA codon recognition, and the 3' end, to which the tRNAs corresponding amino acid is attached (by aminoacyl-tRNA synthetases). tRNAs cope with the degeneracy of the genetic code in two manners: having more than one tRNA (with a specific anti-codon) for a particular amino acid; and 'wobble' base-pairing, i.e. permitting non-standard base-pairing at the 3rd anti-codon position.
Source: RNAcentral
GGGCUUGUGGUCUAGUGGUAUGAUUCUUCCUUAGCACUGUUGAGGUCUAACUCCUCAUCGUGAACUUGGAAGAGGUCCGGGGUUCAAUUCCCCGCGAGUCCA